This 253-nucleotide long non-coding RNA is filed under the name Ananas comosus (pineapple). Its description in RNAcentral is "long non-coding RNA (ACOM_LNC035720)". Lineage: Eukaryota; Viridiplantae; Streptophyta; Magnoliopsida; Poales; Bromeliaceae. The record is from RNAcentral.
CCAGCAGUAAAACUUGAAGGUAAUAUAAUUCGUUUACCAAUAGCAUUACCAUCAACAUCUCCUUCAACAACAGCAUCUCUAAUACCUUUAUAUAUCUCAGUUCUUAGAUUUGCUUGAUUUCAUCUAAUGUAUUGUAGCCUUUCUUCUUCAACACAGGAGAAAUCAUCAACAAUAUAUUGCUGAAAAAGUUUACCCCCACGUAUUAAUGUUUUCCCUUCUCUUAAUCUAUUUUGUAUUCUGUAAACAUAAAACU